GGUUAAGCGACUAAGCGUACACGGUGGAUGCCCUGGCAGUCAGAGGCGAUGAAGGACGUGCUAAUCUGCGAAAAGCGUCGGUAAGGUGAUAUGAACCGUUACAGCCGGCGAUGUCCGAAUGGGGAAACCCAGUGCAAUUCGUUGCACUAUCGUUAACUGAAUACAUAGGUUAACGAGGCGAACCGGGGGAACUGAAACAUCUAAGUACCCCGAGGAAAAGAAAUCAACCGAGAUUCCCCCAGUAGCGGCGAGCGAACGGGGAGCAGCCCGGAGUCUGAAUCAGCUUGUGUGUUAGUGGAAGCGUCUGGAAAGUCGCAGGGUACAGGGUGAUACUCCCGUACACUAAAACGCACAGGUUGUGAACUCGAAGAGUAGGGCGGGACACGUGGUAUCCUGUCUGAAUAUGGGGGGACCAUCCUCCAAGGCUAAAUACUCCUGACUGACCGAUAGUGAACCAGUACCGUGAGGGAAAGGCGAAAAGAACCCCGGCGAGGGGAGUGAAAAAGAACCUGAAACCGUGUACGUACAAGCAGUAGGAGCCCACUAGUUGGGUGACUGCGUACCUUUUGUAUAAUGGGUCAGCGACUUAUAUUCUGUAGCAAGGUUAACCGUAUAGGGGAGCCGCAGGGAAACCGAGUCUUAACUGGGCGUUAAGUUGCAGGGUAUAGACCCGAAACCCGGUGAUCUAGCCAUGGGCAGGUUGAAGGUUGGGUAACACUAACUGGAGGACCGAACCGACUAAUGUUGAAAAAUUAGCGGAUGACUUGUGGCUGGGGGUGAAAGGCCAAUCAAACCGGGAGAUAGCUGGUUCUCCCCGAAAGCUAUUUAGGUAGCGCCUCGUGAAUUCAUCUUCGGGGGUAGAGCACUGUUUCGGCUAGGGGGUCAUCCCGACUUACCAACCCGAUGCAAACUACGAAUACCGAAGAAUGUUAUCACGGGAGACACACGGCGGGUGCUAACGUCCGUCGUGAAGAGGGAAACAACCCAGACCGCCAGCUAAGGUCCCAAAGUCAUGGUUAAGUGGGAAACGAUGUGGGAAGGCCCAGACAGCCAGGAUGUUGGCUUAGAAGCAGCCAUCAUUUAAAGAAAGCGUAAUAGCUCACUGGUCGAGUCGGCCUGCGCGGAAGAUGUAACGGGGCUAAACCAUGCACCGAAGCUGCGGCAGCGACACUAUGUGUUGUUGGGUAGGGGAGCGUUCUGUAAGCCGUUGAAGGUGGCCUGUGAGGGUUGCUGGAGGUAUCAGAAGUGCGAAUGCUGACAUAAGUAACGAUAAUGCGGGUGAAAAACCCGCACGCCGGAAGACCAAGGGUUCCUGUCCAACGUUAAUCGGGGCAGGGUGAGUCGACCCCUAAGGCGAGGCCGAAAGGCGUAGUCGAUGGGAAACAGGUUAAUAUUCCUGUACUCGGUGUUACUGCGAAGGGGGGACGGAGAAGGCUAUGUUGGCCGGGCGACGGUUGUCCCGGUUUAAGCAUGUAGGCGGAUGUUCCAGGUAAAUCCGGAACGUUACUAACGCUGAGGUGUGAUGACGAGGCACUACGGUGCUGAAGUGACAAAUGCCCUGCUUCCAGGAAAAGCCUCUAAGCAUCAGGUAACAUCAAAUCGUACCCCAAACCGACACAGGUGGUCAGGUAGAGAAUACCAAGGCGCUUGAGAGAACUCGGGUGAAGGAACUAGGCAAAAUGGUGCCGUAACUUCGGGAGAAGGCACGCUGAUGGUAGGUGAAGUGACUUGCUCAUGGAGCUGAAAUCAGUCGAAGAUACCAGCUGGCUGCAACUGUUUAUUAAAAACACAGCACUGUGCAAACACGAAAGUGGACGUAUACGGUGUGACGCCUGCCCGGUGCCGGAAGGUUAAUUGAUGGGGUUAUCCGUAAGGAGAAGCUCUUGAUCGAAGCCCCGGUAAACGGCGGCCGUAACUAUAACGGUCCUAAGGUAGCGAAAUUCCUUGUCGGGUAAGUUCCGACCUGCACGAAUGGCGUAAUGAUGGCCAGGCUGUCUCCACCCGAGACUCAGUGAAAUUGAACUCGCUGUGAAGAUGCAGUGUACCCGCGGCAAGACGGAAAGACCCCGUGAACCUUUACUAUAGCUUGACACUGAACACUGGUCCUUGAUGUGUAGGAUAGGUGGGAGGCUUUGAAGUGUGGACGCCAGUCUGCAUGGAGCCAUCCUUGAAAUACCACCCUUUAAUGGCUGGUGUUCUAACGUGGGCCCCUAAUCGGGGUUGCGGACAGUGUCUGGUGGGUAGUUUGACUGGGGCGGUCUCCUCCUAAAGAGUAACGGAGGAGCACGAAGGUCAGCUAAUCCUGGUCGGACAUCAGGAGGUUAGUGCAAUGGCAUAAGCUGGCUUGACUGCGAGCGUGACGGCGCGAGCAGGUGCGAAAGCAGGUCAUAGUGAUCCGGUGGUUCUGAAUGGAAGGGCCAUCGCUCAACGGAUAAAAGGUACUCCGGGGAUAACAGGCUGAUACCGCCCAAGAGUUCAUAUCGACGGCGGUGUUUGGCACCUCGAUGUCGGCUCAUCACAUCCUGGGGCUGAAGUAGGUCCCAAGGGUAUGGCUGUUCGCCAUUUAAAGUGGUACGCGAGCUGGGUUUAGAACGUCGUGAGACAGUUCGGUCCCUAUCUGCCGUGGGCGCUGGAGAAUUGAGGGGGGCUGCUCCUAGUACGAGAGGACCGGAGUGGACGCAUCACUGGUGUUCGGGUUGUCAUGCCAAUGGCAUUGCCCGGUAGCUAAAUGCGGAAGAGAUAAGUGCUGAAAGCAUCUAAGCACGAAACUUGCCCCGAGAUGAGUUCUCCCUGACCCUUUAAGGGUCCUGAAGGAACGUUGAAGACGACGACGUUGAUAGGCCGGGUGUGUAAGCGCAGCGAUGCGUUGAGCUAACCGGUACUAAUGAACCGUGAGGCUUAACCUU
RNAcentral lists this ribosomal RNA (2906 nucleotides) under Klebsiella michiganensis. Its description in RNAcentral is "23S ribosomal RNA". It matches the Rfam family "Bacterial large subunit ribosomal RNA". The record is from RNAcentral. Lineage: Bacteria; Pseudomonadati; Pseudomonadota; Gammaproteobacteria; Enterobacterales; Enterobacteriaceae.